RNAcentral lists this long non-coding RNA (1131 nucleotides) under Homo sapiens (human). RNAcentral's name for it is "HSALNT0300073". The record is from RNAcentral. Lineage: Eukaryota; Metazoa; Chordata; Mammalia; Primates; Hominidae.
GCCGCUGCGCGAAGGAGGCAUUUCCGUUUAUGGCUGUUUAGCUCCUUAAACAUUUCAAGUCAUACAGAAAUAACUAGUGUAAAAAAAAAAAAAGGUGGCUGUGUAGGUUCUUUCCCGUGAGGUGCAGGUCAGGCUCUUCAGCCCCUUUAGGACCACCAACGUGCCUGGUCCCCACGACUCGCGGCUGCCUCCUCUCGGGCCGGGGCAGGGAGGAGCCGCUACUGCCGGUUAUCUUCGGACACGUUGUGGGCCAGCCAGUUCACUCGGUUUCCAGCUCUCGCGGAGGGCUUCGUUAAACUUCACUCGGAAGUGCUUCGUUAAACUUCACUCGGAAGUGCUUCGUUAAACUUCACUCGGAAGUGCUUCAGCGCCUCCUCUGUUUUCCCCGGUGCCAGGGAGUCCUUGAGAUACCGGAUGUCUUUGGAGCAGCUGAGCUCAGGCAGGCCUGCUGCCUGCAUCAGGGCAAAGAGGUGGAGGAAGAGAAGCCCGUGGCGCCGCAGGAUGGUGUUAGGCCCUUUCACAGUAGCCCCGGAACCUUUCAAAUUUCUCAUAUUAUUAGUCUUCCCCUGCUCAAUCACAUGGACAAAGUCAUAGGUGAGGAUGAAUGGGACACGCUGACGGUUGAUUCCAAACGUGGUCUUGAAAUUCCCCCAGAAAGUGGCAAAAAUCAAUGUGGAACAGCUGCCCACUCGCUCGGAUCAUGAUGUUGUCGCUGUGCCGAUCACCGAUGCCCAGCACUGUGAAACUACAACUGUGUUUAUAAGGAGGAUGCCACUGGAAAUGAAUUCUGCUCAAAGAAUGAACUCUCUACACACAUCAUCUUUCUCUCACAGACAUCAUACCACCUCAAGCACUGCAGCCUCAAAAGGGGAAAUUCCUGAGUGAUUCUUCUUGAAGCUUAAAUUCUGUGGGAUUUUUAUGGUGGAAAACUUAGGAGAGGAACCAGACAGCCCAUCUAGGAGCUGAUACUCUUCUAGUGAAGACCACCCUUGCAGGAAAGCAUCUGUCCUCCCAGAAUCCGGAUGUUAGGUUUGAGAAUUUACUAAUGUGUGACUUCUCUGAAACAAUUUAUUUAGGAAAAAAGGUUGAAUAAAUAUAUACUCAAUAAAAGUAUUGCAAAAAUUAAAUAAA